GUGGGGAAUAUUCCGCAAUGGACGAAAGUCUGACGGAGCAACGCCGCGUGAGUGAUGAAGGUUUUCGGACUGUAAAGCUCUGUUGUUUAGGACGAAAGUGCCUGUUGCGAACAGUUACAGGUAUUGACGGUACUAAACGAGGAAGCCACGGCUAACUACGUGCCAGCAGCCGCGGUAAUACGUAGGUGGCAAGCGUUGUCCGGAAUUAUUGGGCGUAAAGAGCAUGUAGGCGGAGAGUUAAGUCUGUUGUGAAAAUGCGGGGCUCAACCCCGUAUUGCGAUGGAAACUGAAUUUCUUGAGUGUCGGAGAGGAAAGUGGAAUUCCAAGUGUAGCGGUGAAAUGCGUAGAGAUUUGGAAGAACACCAGUGGCGAAGGCGACUUUCUGGACGAUGUCUGACGCUGAGGCGCGAAAGCUAGGGGAGCGAACGGGAUUAGAAACCCUUGUAGUCC
Molecule: ribosomal RNA, 450 nt
Filed under: uncultured bacterium
Lineage: Bacteria
Description: partial 16S ribosomal RNA
Rfam family: Bacterial small subunit ribosomal RNA
Source: RNAcentral